This 468-nucleotide ribosomal RNA is filed under the name uncultured bacterium. Its description in RNAcentral is "partial 16S ribosomal RNA". It matches the Rfam family "Bacterial small subunit ribosomal RNA", at positions 28 to 507 of the family's 1533-position model. The record is from RNAcentral.
GACGAACGCUGGCGGCGUGCUUAACACAUGCAAGUCGAACGGAAAGGCCCUGCUUUUGUGGGGUGCUCGAGUGGCUAACGGGUGAGUAACACGUGAGUAACCUGCCCUUGACUUUGGGAUAACUUCAGGAAACUGGGGCUAAUACCGGAUAGGAGCUCCUGCUGCAUGGUGGGGGUUGGAAAGUUUCGGCGGUUGGGGAUGGACUCGCGGCUUAUCAGCUUGUUGGUGGGGUAGUGGCUUACCAAGGCUUUGACGGGUAGCCGGCCUGAGAGGGUGACCGGCCACAUUGGGAAUGAGAUACGGCCGAGACUCCUACGGGAGGCAGCAGUGGGGAAUAUUGCAAAAUGGGCGGAAGCCUGAUGCAGCAACGCCGCGUGCGGGAUGACGGCCUUCGGGUUGUAAACCGCUUUCGCCUGUGACGAAGCGUGAGUGACGGUAAUGGGUAAAGAAGCACCGGCUAACUACGUG